This 442-nucleotide ribosomal RNA is filed under the name uncultured bacterium. Its description in RNAcentral is "partial 16S ribosomal RNA". It matches the Rfam family "Bacterial small subunit ribosomal RNA", at positions 338 to 795 of the family's 1533-position model. The record is from RNAcentral.
CCUACGGGAGGCAGCAGUAGGGAAUCUUUCACAAUGGGCGAAAGCCUGAUGGAGCAACGCCGCGUGCAGGAUGAAGGCCUUCGGGUUGUAAACUGCUCUUAUAAGCGAGAAAUAUGAUGGUAACUUAUGAAUAAGGAUCGGCUAACUACGUGCCAGCAGCCGCGGUCAUACGUAGGAUCCGAGCAUUAUCCGGAGUGACUGGGUGUAAAGAGUUGCGUAGGUGGCAUAAUAAGUAGCUAGUGAAAUCUGGUGGCUCAACCAUUCAGACUAUUAGCUAAACUGUUAAGCUCGAGACCGUUAGGGGUAACUGGAAUUUCUAGUGUAGGAGUGAAAUCCGUAGAUAUUAGAAGGAACACCAAUAGCGUAGGCAGGUUGCUGGGACGGUUCUGACACUAAGGCACGAAAGCGUAGGGAGCAAACGGGAUUAGAUACCCGAGUAGUC